GACGAACGCUGGCGGCGUGCUUAACACAUGCAAGUCGAGCGGUAAGGCCCUUUCGGGGGUACGACGAGCGGCGAACGGGUGGGUAACACGUGGGUGACCUGCCCUCAGCUCUGGGAUAAGCCUGGGAAACCGGGUCUAAUACUGGAUAUGACUCCAUGACGCAUGUUGUGGGGUGGAAAGCCUUGUGCGGCUGAGGAUGGGCCCGCGGCCUAUCAGCUUGUUGGUGGGGUGANGGCCUACCAAGGCGACGACGGGUAGCCGGCCUGAGAGGGCGACCGGCCACACUGGGACUGAGACACGGCCCAGACUCCUACGGGAGGCAGCAGUGGGGAAUCUUGCGCAAUGGGCGAAAGCCUGACGCAGCGACGCCGCGUGAGGGAUGACGGCCU
Molecule: ribosomal RNA, 389 nt
Filed under: uncultured bacterium
Lineage: Bacteria
Description: bacterial SSU rRNA
Rfam family: Bacterial small subunit ribosomal RNA
Source: RNAcentral